Molecule: ribosomal RNA, 403 nt
Filed under: uncultured bacterium
Lineage: Bacteria
Description: bacterial SSU rRNA
Rfam family: Bacterial small subunit ribosomal RNA
Source: RNAcentral
GGGGAAUAUUGGGCAAUGGGCGCAAGCCUGACCCAGCAACGCCGCGUGAGGGAAGAAGGUCUUCGGAUUGUAAACCUCUGUCCUUGGGGACGAAAAAAAUGACGGUACCCAAGGAGGAAGCUCCGGCUAACUACGUGCCAGCAGCCGCGGUAAUACGUAGGGAGCGAGCGUUGUCCGGAAUUACUGGGCGUAAAGGGUGCGUAGGCGGCUAGGCAAGUCAGAUGUGAAAUCCCCGGGCUUAACUCGGGAGUUGCAUUUGAAACUGCUUAGCUUGAGUGUAGGAGAGGAAAGCGGAAUUCCUAGUGUAGCGGUGAAAUGCGUAGAUAUUAGGAGGAACACCAGUGGCGAAGGCGGCUUUCUGGACUGUAACUGACGCUGAGGCACGAAAGCGUGGGGAGCAAAC